UCCCUGGUGGCUCAGAUGGUAAAGCAUCUGCCUGCAGUGCGGGAGACCCAGGUUCGAUCCCUGGGUUGGGAA
This 72-nucleotide transfer RNA is filed under the name Odocoileus virginianus texanus. It matches the Rfam family "tRNA". From Rfam's summary of the family: Transfer RNA (tRNA) molecules are approximately 80 nucleotides in length. RNAcentral also lists the same sequence under 1 other name. The record is from Rfam by way of RNAcentral. Lineage: Eukaryota; Metazoa; Chordata; Mammalia; Artiodactyla; Cervidae.